GACGAACGCUGGCGGUGUGCUUAACACAUGCAAGUGGUGCGACGAACCAGAGCUUGCUCUGGGGCAAAGCCGCGAACGGGUGAGUAACACGUGGGUAAUCUACCCCGAUGACCGGGACAACCCGAGGAAACUCGGGCUAAUACCGGAUGUGGUGCGGAGACAUAAGUCUCUUCACUAAAGGUAGCUUCGGCUUCCGCAUUGGGAGGGGCCCGCGGCCCAUUAGCUUGUUGGUGGGGUCAAGGCCUACCAAGGCAACGAUGGGUAGCUGGUCUGAGAGGACGAUCAGCCACACUGGGACUGAGACACGGCCCAGGCUCCUACGGGAGGCAGCAGUGGGGAAUCUUGCGCAAUGCGCGAAAGCGGGACGCAGCAACACCGCGUGGGGGAAGGAGGCCUUAGGGGUGUAAACCUCUUUCAGAUGGGACGAAGGUUCUCCGGUGAAUAGCCGAGAGGAUUGACGGUACCGUCAGAAGAAGCUCCGGCUAACUACGUG
Molecule: ribosomal RNA, 493 nt
Filed under: uncultured bacterium
Lineage: Bacteria
Description: partial 16S ribosomal RNA
Rfam family: Bacterial small subunit ribosomal RNA
Source: RNAcentral